RNAcentral lists this ribosomal RNA (499 nucleotides) under uncultured bacterium. RNAcentral's name for it is "partial 16S ribosomal RNA". It matches the Rfam family "Bacterial small subunit ribosomal RNA", at positions 29 to 523 of the family's 1533-position model. The record is from RNAcentral.
AUGAACGCUGGCGGCGUGCCUAAUACAUGCAAGUCGAGCGGAUGACGGGAGCUUGCUCCCGGAUUCAGCGGCGGACGGGUGAGUAAUGCCUAGGAAUCUGCCUGGUAGUGGGGGACAACGUUUCGAAAGGAACGCUAAUACCGCAUACGUCCUACGGGAGAAAGCAGGGGACCUUUGGGCCUUGCGCUAUCAGAUGAGCCUAGGUCGGAUUAGCUAGUUGGUGAGGUAAUGGCUCACCAAGGCGACGGUCCGUAACUGGUCUGAGAGGAGGAUCAGUCACACUGGAACUGAGACACGGUCCAGACUCCUACGGGAGGCAGCAGUGGGGAAUAUUGGACAAUGGGCGAAAGCCUGAUCCAGCCAUGCCGCGUGUGUGAAGAAGGUCUUCGGAUUGUAAAGCACUUUAAGUUGGGAGGAAGGGUUGUAGAUUAAUACUCUGCAAUUUUGACGUUACCGACAGAAUAAGCACCGGCUAACUCUGUGCCAGCAGCCGCCGUAA